GCUAAACAUGAGAUAAAAUCGAAACUUUUUUUUGUUCCUUUUCUGAAACCUGUCUUUUCUGACAGGAGAAACAUGAUCUGAAUGCUCUGUUGUACCAAACUCAUUUGUUUUGCCCAAAGGAGCUAUAUGAAAUGUCUGUAGCCUUCUGUUCUUAGUUUUUCUUUCUUUUUUUCUUUUAUUUAUUUUCAUUCUUAUUCACUUUGUUUAUGUGUAAUUUAGCAAUACCAGAGCUGACAGGCAAUGAAAGGUAAGAAGGGGUAAAGAGAAGACAGGGGAAAAAGAGAGUGACACAAAAAAUAAAAAGCAGAGAAAAUCUUAGAAAAGAGACAAAUAAAAGUACAAAGCACUCAUAGUUAAGCUCAGCAGAUCACCAACUGUUGCACCUGUAAGAAAACUGUAAAAAAAUAUAUAUAUAUAUAAAAAGCAAACAGCACAUCAGGAAAAUACAAAGACACACAUGUACAUGGUCAAUUUUGCUUUAAAUGUGUGUGUGUGUGUGUGUGUGUGUGUGUGUGUGUGUGUGUGUGUGUGUGUGUGUGUGUGUGUGUCACAAAACGGACUUAAUAAUGAGGGUCAGGGGCCACAACAACACCCCUGGACCCAGAAGUAGACGAAGAACAAUCCAGUUCAGCAGGGCCAUCCAAAGCACCCCAGGAGUACUUGAGACCCAAGCCCACACGUCCAGAUGACAACCAUGUGCAGAAGGAGGAGGGAGGCCCCAGAAAGAGUUCCUAAAAGUUCUCAAGAACAGUGACCAGCAGGGAGUGGUAGGGAGGAGCAACCCUCACCCAUCAUAACAAUGUCCCACAGAGCUCAGCAAGUCUCAGACUUAGACCCAGCCACACACACACACACACACACACACACACACACACACACACACACACACACACACACACACACAGUGUUUCAACAGCAAUGGGCUCAUUUUUGUCACAAGGUGAUGUUUGAGUUGUUGAUCAGUGGAGUCUGACAGAAGCAGAAGAGUCUCCAAUGUUUUCAUAGUUCACUCCAUCUUCACCCUCAUCAUUAAGCUCCU
Molecule: long non-coding RNA, 1039 nt
Organism: Oreochromis aureus
Lineage: Eukaryota; Metazoa; Chordata; Actinopteri; Cichliformes; Cichlidae
Source: Ensembl